This 424-nucleotide long non-coding RNA is filed under the name Olea europaea (common olive). RNAcentral's name for it is "long non-coding RNA (OEUR_LNC014949)". Lineage: Eukaryota; Viridiplantae; Streptophyta; Magnoliopsida; Lamiales; Oleaceae. The record is from RNAcentral.
AAAAAUGUGCGUAGUUAACUACCCUGUAAGAAUAAAAAGAAAAAACUUAAUUUCCCGAGCGCAACCCCCAGGUAUGGUCCUAGCACCAAUCCCUCUUGUACACAUGUUUGUAACAUGAAAUGAUAAUAAUCCAUGCCUCCAUUUGAUCAGUUGGGUCAGAGAGGAAGCUCUAAAGGCAGCUGGACGAAGGUUCAAGAAUUGGGUGGAGACUGUUAGACCACCUCAUAUAUACUUAAAAUGUUAAAGUAAAGAAAACUUAUUUAUUUAAAUUUUGUUCUGUACAUGCUUUCUCUCAAGUAGAUGUAGUAUCGGACUGCAUUUUUUGCUCCUUUUUUUAAUUAUUAUAAAUAGCUUAACACGAGGGCACUUGAGCCGUUAAAGUAAGAAUAUACAUUCGUUGUUUAGAUUUAGUUAUCAACACGCU